ACUCAAAUGAAUUGACGGGGGCCCGCACAAGCAGUGGAGUAUGUGGUUUAAUUCGAAGCAACGCGAAGAACCUUACCAGGGCUUGACAUCCGACGAAUCCCGCGGAAACGCGGGAGUGCCUUCGGGAGCGUCGAGACAGGUGGUGCAUGGUUGUCGUCAGCUCGUGUCGUGAGAUGUUGGGUUAAGUCCCGCAACGAGCGCAACCCUUAUUGUUAGUUGCCAUCAUUAGGUUGGGCACUCUAACGAGACUGCCGGUGACAAAUCGGAGGAAGGUGGGGACGACGUCAAAUCAUCAUGCCCCUUAUGUUCUGGGCUACACACGUACUACAAUGGCUGUCAACAGAGGGAAGCAAUGCCGCGAGGCGGAGCCAAUCCCUAAAAGCAGUCUCAGUUCGGAUUGCAGGCUGAAACCCGCCUGUAUGAAGUCGGAAUUGCUAGUAAUCGCGAAUCAGCAUGUCGCGGUGAAUACGUUCCCGGGCCUUGUACACACCGCCCGU
RNAcentral lists this ribosomal RNA (497 nucleotides) under uncultured bacterium. RNAcentral's name for it is "bacterial SSU rRNA". It matches the Rfam family "Bacterial small subunit ribosomal RNA", at positions 899 to 1397 of the family's 1533-position model. The record is from RNAcentral.